Ribosomal RNA from Pteropus vampyrus (large flying fox), 119 nucleotides. Lineage: Eukaryota; Metazoa; Chordata; Mammalia; Chiroptera; Pteropodidae. The record is from Ensembl.
GUCUGCGGCCAUGCCAUCCUGAACAAGCCCAAUCCCGUCUGAACUUGGAAGCUAAGCAGGGUCCGGCCUGGUUAGUACUUGGGUGGGAGACCACCUCGGAAGACCAGGUGCUGUAGGUG